GCAUAUCAAUAAGCGGAGGAAAAGAAACUAACAAGGAUUCCCCUAGUAGCGGCGAGCGAAGCGGGAAGAGCUCAAAUUUAUAAUCUGGCACUUUCAGUGUCCGAGUUGUAAUCUCUAGAAGUGUUUUCCGCGUUGGACCGCACACAAGUCUGUUGGAAUACAGCGGCACAGUGGUGACACCCCCGUACACGGUGCGGACGCCCAGCGCUUUGUGAUACACUUUCGAAGAGUCGAGUUGUUUGGGAAUGCAGCUCAAAUUGGGUGGUAAAUUCCAUCUAAAGCUAAAUAUUGGCGAGAGACCGAUAGCGAACAAGUACCGUGAGGGAAAGAUGAAAAGCACUUUGGAAAGAGAGUUAACAGUACGUGAAAUUGUUGGAAGGGAAACGCUUGAAGUCAGACUUGCUUGCCGGAGCUUGCUUCGGUUUGCAGGCCAGCAUCAGUUUUCCGGGGUGGAUAAUGGCGGUUAGAAGGUAGCAGCUUCAGCUGUGUUAUAGCUUUCCGCUGGAUACAUCCUGGGGGACUGAGGAACGCAGCGUGCUUUUAGCGGGGGUUUCGACCUCUUCACGCUUAGGAUGCUGGUGUAAUGGCUUUAAACGACCCGUCUUGAAACACGGACC
RNAcentral lists this ribosomal RNA (617 nucleotides) under Rhodotorula sp. M33. Its description in RNAcentral is "eukaryotic LSU rRNA". It matches the Rfam family "Eukaryotic large subunit ribosomal RNA", at positions 38 to 667 of the family's 3401-position model. The record is from RNAcentral. Lineage: Eukaryota; Fungi; Basidiomycota; Microbotryomycetes; Sporidiobolales; Sporidiobolaceae. RNAcentral also lists the same sequence under 1 other name.